GGAAGUGUGGCCGAGCGGUUGAAGGCACCGGUCUUGAAAACCGGCGACUCGAAAGGGUCCCAGAGUUCGAAUCUCUGCGCUUCCGCCAUAU
RNAcentral lists this transfer RNA (91 nucleotides) under Shimwellia blattae DSM 4481 = NBRC 105725. RNAcentral describes it as "tRNA-Ser". It matches the Rfam family "tRNA". From Rfam's summary of the family: Transfer RNA (tRNA) molecules are approximately 80 nucleotides in length. Their secondary structure includes four short double-helical elements and three loops (D, anti-codon, and T loops). The record is from RNAcentral. Lineage: Bacteria; Pseudomonadati; Pseudomonadota; Gammaproteobacteria; Enterobacterales; Enterobacteriaceae.